GAAAAAAUUAGGCAACAACAACUGUCCUAAAGUGGCAUCAGAUGUAUAUGAAGCUAACAUCGGGAAGAUUUCCUAAUUGGGAUGACUAUGUGAGGGCUGUGUUACUUUGAUUUGGGGACAUUGAACAUGCAGAUCCUAUGGUAGAGUUGAUAUCUCUCAAACAAACUGGGGGUGUUGAAGAGUUUUUGGAUAAGUUUGAUGAGUUGUUGAACCAAGUAGAAUUAACAGAGGAACACUCUAUCAACAUAUUCUUGGCUAAUCUGAAACCAGAAAUUGAAGUGCAAAUGAGGAUGUUGAGUCCUUGAACCUUGACGAAGGCUUAUAGUCAUGCUCGGUAAGUGGAACAAUCUUUGAAGUUACAACAUGGUCAGACUCAGGCAUUGGUGAUGAGUUCAAAGGCAUUACUUCCUGCUCCUCAUAGUUCUUGGAGUGCAAGUGGUCAAGGAUCUAGUUCUUAUCAAGGAGGGGAUAGUAUGAAAACGUAUGGGGGUGAAAGAAAUAUCAAAUUUGAUAACAAGUCUGUUAUUCCAGUGACUAGGAGAUCAUCACCUGCGGAAAUGGAUGAAAAGAGGACAUAAGGCUUAUGCUAUUGCUGCAAUGAAAAAUAUACUCAUAAUCACAAAUGCAAUAGGAGGAAACAAUUGUUCAUACUAGAGCUAGAUGAAGAGGAAAGGGAAGAAGAAGACGUAUGGCAAGAUGGAGGAGUGGAUCUUGAAAAUUCUAAAGAAUCAACCUUGCAACCACAAGUGUUAGUGCACUUGAUGGUACAAGUGAUUAUAGAACUAUGAGAGUAAAGGGAGCCUUGAAGGGCAAAAUGGUGCAUGUUCUAAUUGACUUCGGUUCUACCCAUAGCUUCAUAGACUCGGCAACUGCUAAGAAACUGGUAUGCAAGCUACAAUCUAUUCAUUCUUUUGUUGUAGCUGUAGCAGAUGGGAGAAAAAUGCACAUCUCUGUCAUGACUUGUGGAGUGACAUCGAAUAUACAGGGUGUGACAUGUAAAGCUGAUAUGUUGGUGAUUUCAUUAGGAAGCAUUGCUGUAGUUUUGGAAAUACAGUGGCUAAUCACAUUAGGAGACAUAGGUGAAACUUCAAACAACUUAAAAUGGAGUUCCAAAUAGGUUGAAGGAAGGCAUCAUCAGGGGCAGCCAACCUGGAUCAUUCAAGGUGUUAGCAGAUGUCAAAAUGCAGAACGUAAUAAGCAAAACCAGCCAGAUUAUUCAAUGACAGUAGCUUUCAUUCAACCAAUUGAGAAUUCAAGUUUACAGACCUCACCAAAGGCUCCUUCCCCUGAAGAUUUACAGAAGAUUCUGGACCAAUAUGCAAUGCUUUUUGAAGUGCCUUCCACCUCAUAGGAGUCAUGACCACAAGAUCAUACUGAAGGAGGGCACUUCACCUAUCAAUGUGAGGCCAUAUAGUCAUAUAGAUACUCUGCUAGUAAAAUAGAUGAGAUUGAAAGAUGAUUAAGGAAAUUCUGGAAUCUGGGGUCAUUCAACCAAGUGUAAGUCCAUUUUCUUCUCCUAUAGUUAUGGCUAAAAAGAAAGAUGGUUCUUGGAGACUUCGCAUCGACUAUAUGAAACUAAACGAUUGUACUGUGAAGGAUAAAUUCCUUAUACCUGUGAUAGAGGAGUUACUGGAUGUGUUAGGGGGGGUCCAAAUAUUCUUUCAAAACUAGAUUUGAGAUCAGGUUAUCAUCAAAUUAGGAUUGCUGAAAAUGAUAUCGAGAAGACAACGUCUCACAUUGGUCAUUAUGAAUUUGCAGUAAUGUCAUUUGGACUAAGAGGGGUUGCUCUGAGGGUAAGCAACCCCCACUUCCAACCGAGAGGUUGUGAGUUCGAGUCUCCCCAAGAGCAAGGUGGGAAGUUCUUGGAGGGAAGGAUGCCGGGGGN
Molecule: long non-coding RNA, 1885 nt
Filed under: Nicotiana benthamiana
Lineage: Eukaryota; Viridiplantae; Streptophyta; Magnoliopsida; Solanales; Solanaceae
Description: long non-coding RNA (NBEN_LNC039359)
Source: RNAcentral